UAGGGAAUCUUCCGCAAUGGACGCAAGUCUGACGGAGCAACGCCGCGUGAGUGAAGAAGGAUUUCGGUUCGUAAAACUCUUUUGUUAGAGAAGAACAGCGCAUAGAGUAACUGUUAUGCGUGUGACGGUAUCUAACCAGAAAGCCACGGCUAACUACGUGCCAGCAGCCGCGGUAAUACGUAGGUGGCAAGCGUUGUCCGGAUUUAUUGGGCGUAAAGCGAGCGCAGGCGGUCAAUUAAGUCUGAUGGGAAAGCCCCCGGCUCAACCGGGGAGGGUCAUUGGAACCUGGUUGACUUGAGUGCAGAAGAGGAGAGUGGAAUUCAAUGUGUAGCGGUGAAAUGCGUAGAUAUAUGGAGGAACACCAGUGGCGAAGGCGACUCUCUGGUCUGUAACUGACGCGGAGGCUCGAAAGCGUGGGUAGCAAACAGG
This 429-nucleotide ribosomal RNA is filed under the name Bacteroidota bacterium. RNAcentral's name for it is "Bacteroidetes bacterium partial 16S ribosomal RNA". It matches the Rfam family "Bacterial small subunit ribosomal RNA", at positions 355 to 776 of the family's 1533-position model. Lineage: Bacteria; Pseudomonadati; Bacteroidota. The record is from RNAcentral.